CCUACGGGAGGCAGCAGUGGGGGAUAUUGCACAAUGGGGGGAACCCUGAUGCAGCGACGCCGCGUGGGUGAAGGAGUGCUUCGGCAUGUAAAGCCCUAUCGGCAGGGAAGAAGCAAGACGGUACCUGACUAAGAAGCCCCGGCUAACUACGUGCCAGCAGCCGCGGUAAUACGUAGGGGGCGAGCGUUAUCCGGAUUAACUGGGUGUAAAGGGAGCGUAGACGGCCAUGCAAGCCAGGGGUGAAAGCCCGGGGCCCAACCCCGGGACUGCCCUUGGAACUGUGCGGCUAGAGUGCGGUAGGGGCAGGCGGAAUUCCUGGUGUAGCGGUGAAAUGCGUAGAUAUCAGGAGGAACACCGGCGGCGAAGGCGGCCUGCUGGACUGCGACUGACGUUGAGGCUCGAAAGCGUGGGGAGCGAACAGGAUUAGAUACCCUUGUAGUC
This 441-nucleotide ribosomal RNA is filed under the name uncultured bacterium. RNAcentral's name for it is "partial 16S ribosomal RNA". It matches the Rfam family "Bacterial small subunit ribosomal RNA", at positions 338 to 795 of the family's 1533-position model. The record is from RNAcentral.